UACAGGGGGGGCAAGCGUUGUUCGGAAUUACUGGGCGUAAAGGGCUCGUAGGCGGCCAACUAAGUCACACGUGAAAUCCCCAGGCUUAACCUGGGAACUGCGUGUGAUACUGGAUGGCUUGAAUUCGGGAGAGGGAUGCAGAAUUCCAGGUGUAGCGGUGAAAUGCGUAGAUAUCUGGAGGAAUACCGGUGGCGAAGGCGGGUCUCUGGACAGUUCCUGACGCUGAGGCACGAAGGUCAGGGGAGCAAACGGG
Molecule: ribosomal RNA, 253 nt
Filed under: uncultured bacterium
Lineage: Bacteria
Description: partial 16S ribosomal RNA
Rfam family: Bacterial small subunit ribosomal RNA
Source: RNAcentral